AUAUCAAUAAGCGGAGGAAAAGAAACCAACAGGGAUUGCCUCAGUAACGGCGAGUGAAGCGGCAAUUGCUCAAAUUUGAAAUCUGGUCCCUCUCAGGGCCCGAGUUGUAAUUUGUAGAGGAAGCUUCAGUGAGGGUGCCGACCAAAGUCCCCUGGAACGGGACGUCAUAGAGGGUGAGAACCCCGUCCGGUCAAGCGUCCAAACCAUGUGUUGCUCCUUCGACGAGUCGAGUUGUUUGGGAAUGCAGCUCAAAAUGGGUGGUAAAUUUCAUCUAAAGCUAAAUAUUGGCCAGAGACCGAUAGCGCACAAGUA
This 312-nucleotide ribosomal RNA is filed under the name uncultured eukaryote. RNAcentral's name for it is "partial large subunit ribosomal RNA". It matches the Rfam family "Eukaryotic large subunit ribosomal RNA", at positions 40 to 350 of the family's 3401-position model. The record is from RNAcentral.